RNAcentral lists this ribosomal RNA (354 nucleotides) under Lepetodrilus atlanticus. RNAcentral's name for it is "SSU rRNA". It matches the Rfam family "Eukaryotic small subunit ribosomal RNA", at positions 73 to 414 of the family's 1831-position model. The record is from RNAcentral. Lineage: Eukaryota; Metazoa; Mollusca; Gastropoda; Lepetellida; Lepetodrilidae.
CUAGCACAGUGAAACUGCGAAUGGCUCAUUAGAUCAGUUAUGGUUCCUUAGACGAUACAAUCCUACUUGGAUAACUGUGGUAAUUCUAGAGCUAAUACAUGCACUCUAGCUCCGACCCUUUCGCGAGGGGAAGAGCGCGUUUAUCAGUUCGAAGCCAGCCGGGUUGCAAAACUCGACUCUUUGGUGACUCUGGAUAACUCUUGCGGAUCGCACGGUCUCGAACCGGCGACGCGUCUAUCAAGUGUCUGCCCUAUCAGACUGUCGAUGGUAAGUGCUAUGCUUACCAUGGUGAUAACGGGUAACGGGGAAUCAGGGUUCGAUUCCGGAGAGGGAGCAUGAGAAACGGCUACCACA